ACUCGUAAGAGGAUGUAUAGGGUGUGACGCCUGCCCGGUGCUCGAAGGUUAAUUGAUGGGGUUAGCAUUAGCGAAGCUCUUGAUCGAAGCCCGAGUAAACGGCGGCCGUAACUAUAACGGUCCUAAGGUAGCGAAAUUCCUUGUCGGUUAAAUACCGACCUGCAUGAAUGGCGUAACGAGAUGGGAGCUGUCUCAAAGAGGGAUCCAGUGAAAUUGUAGUGGAGGUGAAAAUUCCUCCUACCCGCGGCAAGACGGAAAGACCCCGUGGACCUUUACUACAGCUUGACACUGCUAUUUGGAUAAGAAUGUGCAGGAUAGGUGGGAGGCUUUGAGUAUAUGACGCCAGUUGUAUAUGAGCCAUUGUUGAGAUACCACUCUUUCUUAUUUGGGUAGCUAACCAGCUUGAGUUAUCCUCAAGUGGGACAAUGUCUGGUGGGUAGUUUGACUGGGGCGGUCGCCUCCCAAAUAAUAACGGAGGCUUACAAAGGUUGGCUCAGAACGGUUGGAAAUCGUUCGUAGAGUAUAAAGGUAUAAGCCAGCUUAACUGCAAGACAUACAAGUCAAGCAGAGACGAAAGUCGGUCUUAGUGAUCCGGUGGUUCUGUGUGGAAGGGCCAUCGCUCAAAGGAUAAAAGGUACCCCGGGGAUAACAGGCUGAUCUCCCCCAAGAGCUCACAUCGACGGGGAGGUUUGGCACCUCGAUGUCGGCUCAUCGCAUCCUGGGGCUGGAGCAGGUCCCAAGGGUAUGGCUGUUCGCCAUUUAAAGCGGUACGCGAGCUGGGUUCAGAACGUCGUGAGACAGUUCGGUCCCUAUCUGCCGUGGGCGUAAGAAGAUUGAAGAGAUUUGACCCUAGUACGAGAGGACCGGGUUGAACAAACCACUGGUGUAGCUGUUGUUCUGCCAAGAGCAUCGCAGCGUAGCUAAGUUUGGAAAGGAUAAACGCUGAAAGCAUCUAAGCGUGAAGCCAACUCUAAGAUGAAUCUUCUCUAAGCUCUCUAGAAGACUACUAGUUUGAUAGGCUGGGUGUGUAAUGGAUGAAAGUCCUUUAGCUGACCAGUACUAAUAGAGCGUUUGGCUUAUCUUUAAUAAAGCAU
Molecule: ribosomal RNA, 1094 nt
Filed under: Campylobacter coli
Lineage: Bacteria; Pseudomonadati; Campylobacterota; Epsilonproteobacteria; Campylobacterales; Campylobacteraceae
Description: partial 23S ribosomal RNA
Rfam family: Bacterial large subunit ribosomal RNA
Source: RNAcentral